AGUGAACGCUGGCGGUAGGCCUAACACAUGCAAGUCGAACGGCAGCACAGUAAGAGCUUGCUCUUACGGUUGGCGAGUGGCGGACGGGUGAGGAAUACAUCGGAAUCUACUUUUUCGUGGGGGAUAACGUAGGGAAACUUACGCUACUACCUCAUACGACCUACGGGUGAAAGCAGGGGAUUUUCGGACCUUUCGCGAUGUAAUGCGCCGAUGUCGGAUUAGCUAGUUGGCGGGGUAAAGGCCAACCAAGGCGACGAUCCGUAGCUGGUCUGAGAGGAUGAUCAGCCACACUGGAACUGAGACACGGUCCAGACUCCUACGGGAGGCAGCAGUGGGGAAUAUUGGACAAUGGGCGCAAGCCUGAUCCAGCCAUACCGCGUGGGUGAAGAAGGCCUUCGGGUUGUAAAGCCCUUUUGUUGGGAAAGAAAAGCAGCAGGUUAAUACCCCGCUGUUCUGACGGUACCCAAAGAAUAAGCACCGGCUAACUUCGUG
This 492-nucleotide ribosomal RNA is filed under the name uncultured bacterium. Its description in RNAcentral is "partial 16S ribosomal RNA". It matches the Rfam family "Bacterial small subunit ribosomal RNA", at positions 29 to 507 of the family's 1533-position model. The record is from RNAcentral.